This 453-nucleotide long non-coding RNA is filed under the name Rattus norvegicus (Norway rat). Its description in RNAcentral is "long non-coding RNA NONRATT018688". Lineage: Eukaryota; Metazoa; Chordata; Mammalia; Rodentia; Muridae. The record is from RNAcentral.
UGGAGGAGGCGCGAGAGGCUUAGAAAGGCCUGUUUGUGAGUCUGCGUGCUGGAGAGGGGAGGGCUUGGUAGGAUCAGUGGAGGGGUCUUCCAGCAGACACCCUGACUUUAACAGGCCCCACCAAGGUUCAUUUCUGAUCCUCUGGCGAUCUCUACUGUCUCAAAUGAGAAUUGUCCAGAGACCGGUGAGGCCCAGGAGACACAAAUGUUUCAAGCAGCAGGUUUUCGUCGCCUCCCCCGGUGAUCACGGUCUACAGCUCCAGCCCCCAGCCCUGCGGGUCAUUGACUCUGACUCCCGCCGCUCACCCUCCAGCUCAUUGCGGCUCCCAGAGCCACUCGCGUGCCAGUUCCGCCCCAGAAGGAACCUUCCUUUCUCAUUAGGCGCCAUCUCCAAAUUCCUUGGGAUUCUGGUCUCUGCUUACCAAGCUGAAUCGUGAGUCACCAGCGGCGCACA